UAUCUCCCCUCCACCACUCUGCCCCUCAGCUCUUCAGCUGAACUAGAACUGCUGUGCGUGUACAUUUGGGUCCACUGACUACACCACCACCAAAAACCCCAGACAAAUGCAGAGUCGUUAAUAGAGAACCAGUGUUGGAGCAUCUCUGGAAGCUGAUGUAUUCAUUCAUCCACAUACUCAUCCAGACUGCUGGCAGCAGUCCUGAAAAUAUCCAAAUCCCUACAGUCCAGACCCGCCUGAAGGGGCACAUCAACAGGAGUCGUUGCAGAUUGGAUGUGUUUCCCAGCAAAAUCUCCAAAACAUGGAAAUUCCAGGAGACAUGCAGUUACUCUGCGAGAGCUGGACAGGACCGUAGAAGAACUGUAGUGUGACUCACUGCCCAGCACGGUGGAGCUUGAUUGGCCUUUGCUUGGCAUGUCCGCCACUGGCGCCCAGUGCUUUUUACAGAUGUGAGCAGGUUCACCCUGAGCAUCUUUCAUAGGGAGAAGCCAAGAACACUAUGGCGCCUGCCUAUUUCCAUCAAAAGAGGUGGCAUUCUUUCGUUCCUCAGACAUUGAACCGUCUAUAUUAGUAUAGGUAUCCAAAAUACUUAUCGAUCUGAUGUGUGUGUGUGUGUGUGUGUGUUCCUAAAUUUGGGUAGCGGCUAAGUUAUGAUAGUGGGUCCUGCAGCCAGACAAGUUGAGAAACACUGCUUUGGAAAAUUAACAUUGGCUGCGAAAAAGCAGUUACCUUUCUUCUCCAUUUUUUUUCUCUCUAUCGUUUUGUUUUAAUGAUCAUUAGGACAAAUGAAUGCAAAUAUCCUAGCGUGGACAUAUUAUGUCGUUUGAGACUCCUUGUCUAAAACCAAUCAACCAUCGGAGAGAGAAAUUGUGGGCUGUCAGUAUGUUUGUGUGUAUUUUUUUAAGUUCUUGUAGGCAUAUUGCUGUGCUGGUUAUGUGUGUCAGUGUGAGAUAGGUGAGUGUGUUUGAAUAAUAACUGUGUUUUUCUCCUGAGGGGCUCCACCAAGCCGGAAAAAAAUAAAAAUAAAAUAUUAAUGUUCAAUCACUGCGUUGGGACCACUGACACACGCGCCCCACACACACCAGACACGCUGGAAAAUCACCAGAACAAUACCAGGCAGACUCUGUAUUGUUGCAGUGUAUUUGCGAGAGCCCCCCUGACGAUACGCCCCUUACUAAGCAGCUGUAAGCAGAUGCUGCUAGCCUGAAUGUAAGAGAAGCAGGCUUGUGAGUGAAUCCAAUUCUACGCUGUCCUUAAGCUAGGCAGUGCGAGUGAUUUACUGGUUAUUAGUCUGAGGUAGUUUUAGAGAUCAUUUUUUGGUCUCUGAAGCACCCGUAAUAUUUCUUUGGUUGAGUGUUGUGUGUGGGUGUGUGUGUAAUAUUCCUGUGCAACAUGUCAACUCGCAAUGCACCUUUUUAAUCAGCCUUUCUUUCCUACUCUACGACUACGUGGAGUACGGAAUGACCGUCGGGCCGAGAUCUGGCAGGUCACUUUGAACAUAUCAACACAGAAGAACCCAACAGUUUUAUCUAUUGACAAUUACAACGCAAUUAUUGUACAGACCAGACAACAUGUAUCCUUACCAAUGUUGAAACAAAAAGAAAAGAAAGAGAGAAGAAAAGAAAUAUGAACCUGGAAAUUCCAGUUUCAAAGUGUCUUUUCAGUUUAAGAUACUUCAACAACAAGCAACAAAAUUUAACUAAACCGCUUUGUGGAUAAUCAUGGUCUCCAUGGUAUGAAUGACUCUCCUUUCAAUUAUUCAACUAGCAAACAUCAUAUAUAAUCUAAUGGCACACAUUUAGGCCCUCUUCAUGAAUUUAAUUUGGAAAAGAUGAAAUGUAU
Molecule: long non-coding RNA, 1842 nt
Organism: Gasterosteus aculeatus aculeatus (three-spined stickleback)
Lineage: Eukaryota; Metazoa; Chordata; Actinopteri; Perciformes; Gasterosteidae
Source: Ensembl